Molecule: ribosomal RNA, 433 nt
Filed under: uncultured bacterium
Lineage: Bacteria
Description: partial 16S ribosomal RNA
Rfam family: Bacterial small subunit ribosomal RNA
Source: RNAcentral
AACGAACGCUGGCGGCAUGCCUAACACAUGCAAGUCGAACGAGACCUUCGGGUCUAGUGGCGCACGGCUGCGUAACGCGUGGGAACCUGCCCUUAGGUUCGGCCUAACUCCCCGACAGGGGUGCUAAUACCGGAUAGUGUCUUCGGACCAAAGAUUUAUCGACUUUGGAUGGGCCCGCGUUGGAUUAGCUAGUUGGUAGGGUAAAAGCCUACCAAGGCGACGAUCCAUAGCUGGUCUGAGAGGAUGAUCAGCCACACUGGGACUGAGACACGGCCCAGACUCCUACGGGAGGCAGCAGUGGGGAAUAUUGGACAAUGGGCGAAAGCCUGAUCCAGCAAUGCCGCGUGAGUGAUGAAGGCCUUAGGGUUGUAAAGCUCUUUUACCCGGGAUGAUAAUGACAGUACCGGGAGAAUAAGCUCCGGCUAACUCCGUG